CUCUGCGGUGCAGCGAUUAAACAGACAUUGGAAAUGCAGCUCCUUCAUUGAGGUUACACCGAUGCAUUGCCAAGAUGCUUAUACCGUGAGCUGAGCCAUCCUGUAUACCUUCCACCUGAAUUGUGGUAGACCCUCCCGGGCACGCCGUGUGGGUGCCAUGCAUCAGGAUAAAGGCCGGUGAACACACGAAACGCGCCAGAGACAGCUUCAUGUCAAACUCAAUGUGGAAUGAGAGAGACAGAGGGAGAGACGUCACCUCUGGCGUGGUCCUCACCAGUCCCAAGAUCACCGAGCAAGAUAAGGGAUUAUAUACAGAGGAAGACCACACUCCUGGCUCAGCUUUACAAGUCAGACAUGGAGAAAAGAGAGCUCCGGUGUACAGACAACCGGAAGCGGCAGAUACAAAUCACUAUAAAUGCCG
Chiloscyllium plagiosum (whitespotted bambooshark) is the source of this 421-nucleotide non-coding RNA. Lineage: Eukaryota; Metazoa; Chordata; Chondrichthyes; Orectolobiformes; Hemiscylliidae. The record is from RefSeq and is a predicted model, not a curated record.